UCCUACGGGAGGCAGCAGUGGGGAAUUUUGGACAAUGGGCGAAAGCCUGAUCCAGCCAUUCCGCGUGCAGGAUGAAGGCCCUCGGGUUGUAAACUGCUUUUGUACAGAACGAAAAAGCUCCGGCUAAUACCUGGAGUCCAUGACGGUACUGUAAGAAUAAGCACCGGCUAACUACGUGC
RNAcentral lists this ribosomal RNA (179 nucleotides) under uncultured bacterium. RNAcentral's name for it is "partial 16S ribosomal RNA". It matches the Rfam family "Bacterial small subunit ribosomal RNA", at positions 337 to 508 of the family's 1533-position model. The record is from RNAcentral.